Mus musculus (house mouse) is the source of this 4663-nucleotide RNA transcript. It is a transcript of the gene named G protein-coupled receptor 89, with no coding region annotated. The transcript has 14 exons. NCBI's taxonomy places the organism in Eukaryota, Metazoa, Chordata, Mammalia, Rodentia, Muridae. The record is from RefSeq and is marked validated.
GGCGCAUCUUGAUGACGUAAGCACGCGCCAGGCCAGGCCGCCUACCACAGCAGGUGGACAGGUCUUAAGCCGCGGCUUCUCUGAGGGGUAGACAGCUGGGCAUGGGCCUCCCGAGGCUUCGCCAUGAGCUUCCUGAUCGACUCCAGCAUCAUGAUCACCUCCCAGAUACUGUUUUUUGGAUUCGGAUGGCUUUUCUUCAUGCGCCAGUUGUUUAAGGACUAUGAGGUGCGUCAGUAUGUGGUGCAGGUGAUCUUCUCCGUGACCUUUGCAUUUUCAUGCACCAUGUUUGAGCUUAUCAUCUUUGAGAUCUUGGGAGUUCUGAACAGCAGCUCCCGUUACUUCCAUUGGAAACUGAACCUGUGUGUGAUUCUGCUCAUCCUGGUUUUCAUGGUGCCCUUCUACAUUGGUUACUUUAUCGUGAGUAACAUCCAGCUGUUGCACAAACAGCGCCUGCUCUUUUCCUGUCUCUUAUGGCUGACCUUUAUGUACUUCUUCUGGAAGCUGGGAGACCCAUUCCCCAUACUCAGCCCAAAGCACGGGAUCUUGUCCAUAGAGCAGCUCAUCAGCCGGGUAGGCGUAAUCGGGGUGACGCUCAUGGCUCUGCUUUCCGGAUUUGGUGCUGUCAACUGUCCGUACACAUACAUGUCCUACUUCCUCAGGAACGUGACUGACACAGAUAUUCUUGCCCUGGAACGGCGACUGCUGCAGACCAUGGACAUGAUCAUAAGCAAAAAGAAAAGAAUGGCCGUGGCACGGAGAACCAUGUUCCAGAGAGGGGAUGUGCAGAACAAGCCGUCGGGACUCUGGGGCAUGCUGAAGAGCGUUACUGCCUCAGCCCCGGGAAGUGAAAAUCUGACUCUUAUCCAACAGGAAGUGGAUGCUUUGGAAGAACUGAGCAGGCAGCUUUUUCUGGAAACAGCUGAUCUGUAUGCUACAAAGGUACAGAGUGAGGAGACAGCUCUGCUUUACCAACACGGUUGAAGAGAGAAUGAGACCUCAUGGGCUGGCAGUCCUCUGCGAGCAGGCAGUGCUUCUGUGAAAGAAUUGAAUACUCGAAAACAUUCAAGGGAAAGUAUUUUAAUUUCCUGGGUUAUUUUUUCUCUAUUUACUGUGUCUGGAAAAUUUUUAUGGCUACCAUCAAUAUUGUUCUUGAUCGAGUUGGGAAAACUGACCCUGUCACCAGAGGCAUCGAGAUCACUGUGAAUUAUCUGGGAAUCCAGUUUGACGUGAAGUUCUGGUCUCAGCACAUCUCCUUCAUUCUGGUUGGAAUAAUCAUUGUCACAUCCAUCAGAGGACUGCUGAUCACACUCACCAAGUUCUUUUAUGCCAUCUCCAGCAGCAAGUCCUCCAACGUCAUCGUCCUGCUGUUAGCGCAGAUAAUGGGUAUGUACUUCGUGUCCUCUGUACUGCUGAUCCGAAUGAGCAUGCCCCCGGAGUACCGCACCAUAAUCACAGAGGUCCUCGGGGAGCUUCAGUUCAACUUCUAUCACCGUUGGUUUGAUGUCAUCUUCCUGGUCAGUGCCCUCUCCAGCAUAUUGUUCCUCUAUCUGGCUCACAAACAGGCACCAGAGAAGCAUAUGGCCCCCUGAACUCAGACUCCCUGCCAACUUCAGGAAAGGAGACACAGUGGGGAGACCAGAGCCUACAGCUCUUUACACAGGCAGAGCUGCGAGUUCUGUUCUGCCUCAGGCACACGCCUACUUCCUCCUGAGAUACUGGAGUCACUUCGACUGAGGCACAAGAAGAAAACCCGCAGCAUUCAGCAGGGAGCCGCAUGGAUCUGAGGCUGUGCAGUGAGGAGGAGAGGGCCAGAGCAUGAGGAUACCCCGGAAAUCCUGACUACACGGCUUCCCUCGAAAAUGCUAGUAAAGUCAGUUUGUAACACUCUGGCCUUGGGGUCACUUGUCCAGCACAGCUUGGUGUUAUGCUAUUGUGGUCUGACGUGAAAUGCAUCUCUCCCCUCACCCAACUUUACCCCGUAAAAAUAACCAAAAGGUUGUUUCUUCUUUUCUGAGAAAGGGGUGAUAGGCAACAGAUAGAUUUUACCAAAUAGAUUUUAGGUAUACCAAUCUUUAUUUCCUCUUAAAUUAGAGAAGAGUGAAUGUUCCGUGCUAAUCCAGCAGUGGCUGGCUCGGGUUGGCUUUCCCUCUGCCUCAGCGCUGGAGGUAGACGUUAACUGGAACAAGCCCUUUCCUGUUCUGAAACAUAAGCCCUCCGACAGUAAAAGGAAGGUGUUGAGGUUUUUUUUUAAUACUCAAAUGUAACAUAAGAAAAUGCUGAAGUAUAUUUCCUGGAAGCCUCCCUUUAUUACUAAGACCACAGUGUGUAUUUUGCAUGUUUUGGGCUUCUGGAAGCAAAUGAGAAAGCAUGAAAUGUUUGUAUGGAACAAAGACACUAUUCGGAUUCUAUUAGCCAACAGGGAAGUUGCAAACAACUCAGAAGCACUUAGCAAUGCUGCUCAGCCACAGCAUUGCUACAAAAGCACACUUCUAUAACAGGCAUCUGCUUGAUUCUUUAAUUAGCAGCGCUCACAUGGACAGUGAAUCAUCCCAGGUGCUCAAGCCUGCAGAAGGAAGAGGUCUCAUCAACAGAAGUGAAAAGUUGCACUUUGGAAGAUACCACAUAGAAAGACCCUGAACCUGGUCCCUCCUCUGGCUAAGUUGAGCUUAAAUAAGCAACCUGCAGUAGCAGCCCUUACAACAACAGACAGUCUGGGGGACAGAUGGUCCAGAGGAGGUCUGACGGGGUCGGCAGGGCUCAUUCCUCGGAGAGGCAGUUCCUGGGCCCUCAAGAGGAAGCAUCAUUUGUUCUCUUCACAUCUCCGUGUCUUCAGAGUUAGACGAAGAGUGCGAGGCUGUGCUGAGAGUCUGUGCAAAGGAAAAAGACAAGGGUUUACUGCAGCAGGAAAGAGCAAGGCUGAUCUAGAGCUGGCAUGCCUUAAGUCAGAGAGCCAGGCACCUCUAGAUGUAAUCCGAAUCUUCACUUGACUUGCUUCCAGAUUACUGUUUAACACAAACAAGUUUCUCAUUGUCUGUGUAUAUACCAACAUACACAUAGACCAUCAGUUUUCUAUAAGGCCAGAUUAGUACUAUAAUUGGCAUGACCUAUCAGCAGUAUUAAAUACAGUAGAAAACUAUAGUGACUUUUCAUAGGAGGCCUGAUUCCUAUAAAUCUCCUUCUAUGAAUUUGGAUGUCAGUUUACUUUUGAAACUCAAAUUUAUCCAUGAAGAGAAAAUUGACCAGAAAAAAAUUCUUCUGACAAAAAUAAUUGUAAUUCCUGACACUUACUAAACAUGGAGUCUAAGCCUCUCUCUCUGUUUUUACUUACUGUGAGCCAGGCACAGUUUAAACACUUCUGAAAACAACUGUACACAUUGUCCAUGUUUUAUAAGUCGGAAAUCUGGAGCACAGAGCCAGGAACUGGUCCUGCGUAAUCAGGUCAGGUUCUUCGGUGGUCUCCAUGAUUUUGAUAAACUGAUUUCACUUACUAACUGCCAACUGCAUGCUAAAAAAAUAAUGACACACCACAAGCCUGGCACUCAGGAGGCUAAGACAAGAGGAUUGCAAGUUCUACACCAGCCUGGGCUCCACAGUGAGGCCACAUUUCUAAGAAGACAAUAAAUUUGUCCUCAUAAUGCCUCCUUUGUCACAAAACCCUGGCAGGUUGGCCACCCUGUGUCACUGGGAAGCAUAGGCAUGAGGCACUGGCUGGGGACUACCCCAGGGAAGCAGGGCCACCACUCACUCGGUCUUUUGCUGGGUGGGCGUCAUGCUCGGACUCCGCAGACGUCUCUCCUUUUUCAUCAGGGCCAGCCACCAGGGGCUCGGCCAUGGAGGAAACGAUGGGGAUUUUCUUAGCUUGGAAGUAGCUGUAGGCCAUCUUUCCACAGACCAACAGAGUGACGUGCUUCCCGCUGCUCUUGAUUCUCUCCACCACUCUGUCGUAGGGUUCCUCUUGCACGUUCUCCCCGUUCACUUCGAUGAUGACGUCCUCAUUCUCCAGCCCAGCCUUGUCAGCAGGGCCACCCUGCUGUACCUGUGAACAGAGGUUCUGAGUCGGUUCCAAGCAUGGAAGAAGGCGUGCCGGGCAGCUUCCCUCCUGAACAGCCUCAACACUUGUUAACUGCGCUCCUUUAUGGCCUAUACACCCUGAACUCCACUGGGCUCAGCCACACUGGCAAAGCACUGCACUGAACAUGUGCUGGGCUGAAGGCAUCACGCCCCCAUCUUAGGAUCCCAACUUGGAAGCUACAGGGUGGUCUCAUUGCUCUCCCCUACAGGGUUCAGGCACCGUGCACAUCCACAGCAGUGGGCAAGGAGCACUCUCAGAGGCGGACUUCCAAGUGUGACCACUGUUAGUGUCACGGAGACUUGUGGCUUGCACUGAAAAAAAAAUCCCAUCCUAAUUGGCUGUUUGCUGAGCUGUCAGAACUAGUCACCAUACCUCUUUGACAAAGGAGCCAGGCUGACCCCGAAUGGCAUUCAGGUGAAAGCCGUAGCUAUCGUCCUCUUUAAGCAGCCUGCAGAGCUUGGGCUUGUGACCCUCCGCGUCCUCUGUGGGCUCUGAGCCUGUGGCCUCCAGAGGAGCAGGGAUCGGAGCUGGGCCUUCCUUGACAGAACCAUUAGGCAGUUCUUGACUUUGGCAGUAAAGAAGUGGAGAGAA